Molecule: long non-coding RNA, 8117 nt
Filed under: Olea europaea subsp. europaea
Lineage: Eukaryota; Viridiplantae; Streptophyta; Magnoliopsida; Lamiales; Oleaceae
Source: RNAcentral
AUGAAUUAACUGGUAGGUUUAUGUUGUAGGAAGUGGAGAGAGAUCUCACAUAGCCGUGGUGAAGAAAGGAAAUGUAUAAUAGUGAUUGCAGAGAAUGGUAUGUAGGGGGUUUCUAGGAGUGCUUAUUGAAGCUCCUGAACUUCUUGUUAACAUUUGUGGGUUUGGCACUCGUUGGUUAUGGUAUUUAACUCUUUGUUGAGUACAAAAAAUGCAGCAUCUUCUAGUGAUGAUAGUGAUUAUUGAAGCUCCUGAACUUCUUCUUAACACUUGUGGUCUGGCACUUGUUGGUUAUGGUAUUUAACUCUUUCUGGAGUACAAAAAUGCAGCAUCUUCUGGUCAUGAUGUCCCCAUUGCACCUUCAGGUGGUGUAUGCAGCUUGGCUGCCCGAUGCUCAUGGCUGUGUCUUUAGCUGAUAGCAUUUUCGAUAAACUCCCCAACACUUGGUAUAGUCAUCCAUUUAGCUCUGUCUUCAGUUAUUGAUAAUUUUGACGCGUUUGCAAUUUUAAAUUAGUGUGCAUGCUCAUACUUCAUUACAUCCGACCUAUAACUUGUGUUAAUUUUUUAAAGCUUAGCCGUACAUGCUCCUACUUCAUUACAUCCAACAUAUAACUUUUCGAGUUUUUUAUCCCCUUCUUCAGUGGGGGGGUGUUCCCUGUCUAAUGUACUAUGGCUGCUAAUUUUGGUCUGAUUUGGCUUGUGAUAUCAUGCUGAUUUUUUAAUAAUUCUGAUAUGAUAUGUGGCCAUUUAGUUUUGUUAAUUAUCAACUCCGGUUCCUCCACAUUGAUGUUAAGUACUAUUCUUGAAGACACAGAAUGACUAAAAUCUAUGAGUAAGGCCAUAAAUUCAAUUGCUCAAAUAGAAGUUCUAUUUGCUACUUUAGCUCCCUUGAUUAUUAAUUAUUACACUUACAAUAGAGUGAAAAUUUAUUGUUUUUUCAUUAAGGGUCUGUUUGAUUGUAAAGAUAGAAUUUGGAUGGAAAGAAAACGAAUUACAGGAAAUUGAAUUACCUAGAAAUUGUUUUCCUGGGAAUUGUAAAUUAUUGUAUUUGAUUGGUAUAAUUUUUCACGUGGAAAAUGUUGAAAUAAAAGUAUUUUUUGGUGUUCGUUUGAUUUUGUUUUACAUGAAAAUUGUCAAUUAAAGGGAUAGAAUUUACUGGUAUUGAGAAUAAAAUUUGUUUCCAUUGAUAAAAAAAAAAAAAAAAAUUCAUCUUUCUUUUGGUGUCCAUUUGGUUUUGUUUUACAUAAAAAUUGUCAAUUAAAGGGAAAUGUUUUUUUACAAUAAUUUUAAAAUUUAUUUCCAUUGUAAAAAAAAAGGGAAAACGUCAACAGUAACUGGGAAAAUCAAUUCCCGCCAAAGCAAGAAAAAUGCAGCUCCCAAGAAAUCCAAAAAUUUCUAUUCCAUGGAAAAUAAACCCCUAUCAAACACACCAAAGUUGGAAAAUGCCACCCAAAUUCUAUUUUCCAUGGAAAUGUUUUGCCAAUCAAACGGUGCCUAAAGGUCAAAUGAUGUGUUUACAUAAUAAAAUUUCCAAAGUGGCAAUUUUGCACAUAUUUGAUGAUUGACUCAGUCAUCUGCAAUUUUUCAGCCAGUUAGCAUGAAAUAAGACAUCUUAUUCAAAUGAAGCCUAACAUUUUUUUGUUUCCCACUAAAACACAUUAAAGAGUUUUAUGGUCCAUAGCCAUAUCUCUUAUAGUUGACUACCGGUAACAUUCUUAAAAUACAUUAUCGUGAUUGAAAACUUUCUUCCAGUGCUAGAAUUUAGAUUUCCUCUAUAGUUUCAAAUGACUUUAUUUACUCUCCAAAUGCAAUUAUUGACCAGACAAUAAUGUAUAUAGUUUGUUAUUACUCACCAUGAUGCUUUUUCAUUUAUCUCCUUCAAAUCUAGCAAUGACACCAGUCCUCAAAAUGAUUGGAUAGGAGCAUGGUGGCAUAGUAGCUUGAUUGGUAUCUCUGGUAAGGUAACUGUAUUCUGUCAUUUUUUAUAUUUUGUUUUUUUUUUGUGCAACAUAUUUAUUUUACUUCUGCAUUCCGUACAUAUUUGAAUACCAUUAGCUGUUUGGUGGGCCAUAUCACAUCAGUAAAUAUUCUGUCGAAAGUCCAAAACCAAUUUGAGGAACUUCUUGAUUCAUUUUAUAUGGAAUAUAAAUCAACUGAAUUUGUCUCGAUAAAUCUCUAUAUUUGAAGCGAUUUCUAGUUUUUUUAGAUUGUGAGUCAUAUUAUGUUGCUUUCUUUAUAUGGUGAAGAUGUUUUCAGCCUAAAAAAACUUAUUAUUUCCUUUUCCUCUUGUUCUUCGGCUGCAACCGGCUUUGCUUCUUGUAUCCAUCCAAGCUACAUACAUGUUCUCUUACAUUUAAUGUCUCUGCCCUUGUUUGGCAGGUGUUCAAAUUAUAAAAUACUUUUGGUGAAACUACUAUUCCUCUACAUAUUUUGUAGGAGCUAAUCAAAUUAUAAACAAUUCCUGACCAUUCUUUUAGUCUCCAUUUAGUUGGGUUCUGUGCUUCAAACUUUGAUAGCUUCUUCAGUAAUUUUUUCAUAGUUUCGACAUCCUAAUCAAUGUUUUUUGGAACAAUUGUCUACGGUAUGAUUUGUGAUAUAAACGCUUGAAUCAAUCAGGUUUAGAGGAGAAAGAUAGCUUAUAUGCUUGAAACAGUCAAAAGGGAACAUAUUAUUUGGAUUUUCGAAGGUCUUUGAGAACCAUGGAUCAAAUUCAGCAAGUUUUCUUUGCAGCUAAUGAAGCAAUUUAUUUGACAUGUAGACUUAAUGAAAAACAAAAAUGAAAAAGCUGGCAAAUCGGAUACUGUUUAUUAUUAGCUUUUGUAUUCUCUAUAGUGAAUAAUUUUUGUUUGUUGUUCUUUUUUCGUCUAAGGCUAGACCAUAGAAUUGAAUCGACAGUGCUUUAUCCCCUUCUUCUGAAUGAAAUCUUCCUCUGAAUUUCAAUUGAAUCGGCGAUACUUCAUGUUGUUCUAUAUUUACAUCACUUCAAUUGAAUUUCUUUUGCAACUCAUGCUUUCAUGUCCUGUGGCUUUACACGGUAAGCUAAUUAAUGUUGCUAUACCUGUAACUACAAAUGGUGUGCCACAAUCAGGUAAGAUAUCAUAAACUCCAAGUAUAAUUCAAUUGUAACAAAAAAUAAAAAAUAAAAUGGACUGUAUCAUAUCAUUCUUAAACUCAACUCUCAAUACACUACUUUUACAAAUCAACUGUCUCUCAUUGGAGUACUCAAAGUUAGCAGGUAAAGUGGUAUGUAACACCUAUGUAGUAGGUCACAAAGGGCUUGCUUUACAAGAUUUCAUCACUGCUGGUCCAUGUAAAAAUUUUAGUGUGGACUCUGUGCUUCUAUUUGAUCAAAGUCGAUUUUACAAUUACUUAUAUGUCCCAUUUCUAUAUUUUUUCCUCUAUUUGUCUCCAGGCUUAAGACUAAUUUUGAUGUCAUUGAUUUGUUUCUUUUCUCCAUUUUUACGUGCCAUAGCCAUUUCGUCUCUUUACUGCAUUCCACACACAACCGUCCAUAUUCUGCAGCCGUUACCGUAUCUCUUUAUUUCUUCUGCUAGGUUUUCUUUCCAAUUCCUAAUUUCAUUGAUGGAUCUCACAAAGAAACCUAGGUCGACAAGAAUGGCGUCGCCUAUUCUGUACCCAACAACUUAAAUGUUACUACAGCCGUCGCAUCCACACCAAUUUCAGCAGCACCAGCAGCAAUCAUAUGUGGGCGGCAACUUUUCGCGAAUAAAUUCAUUGUUUGUUUUCUCUAUGAUUGAUUUUGUUGGUUUGUACUCUUCAUCGUGAAUGAUUUUUGUUAUUUUUUUUUUUCUUUUUUUGGAUGAAAAAACCCUAGAAUGGAUUUUUCUUCCUUUUUUUACCACAAUUAAUAUAAUUAUGAGAUAAUACCGUUUCUUGCUUUUAUUUGAUCUAGGGAUCUGGUUCCGUUUAUUUGAUUUAUUCGAACUGCUAAAUGAUCCUUUAAACAUACCAAACCCCUUAUUUCUGUUCCAUUUCUUUUUUAUCUAAUUUUUGUUGCUUUGACUAUAUAACAACAGAGAUUGUUGUGAAACAUUUUUGAUCGGCAUGAAUUCGUGUGAUAUGAUGUAAAACAAGUACGUUGUUCACAUCUCUGUUCUUUGCUCAUUUGUAUUUGAUUAGUAUGUUCUUGAAGUCUUGUUAACAUGGAUGGACACACUAACUUAUUUGCAGGUUAUUCAGUUUGUGACACGAAGCAGCCUGUAUGUUCUCUUGACUUGAGUUAUAAGCCUUCACAUUCUGUUUCUAUCAAUACUUGAUUUGCCUGGCCUGUGCUCUCUGAAUCUAUUUAGCCUGUAUGUUUUGUUGUUUUCUCUGUCCUUAAAAAACAUCUAUCAAUACUUGAUUUGCCUGACAUACAUCUCUGUUCUUUGUCAUUUAUGUUUUGCUAUUCUCUUUGCUUUGUUCAAACGUGCUAUAACAUUAAGAAAAUAAUGUGUAGACAGUAGAUGUACAUGUUUUUUCAACAUGUGAUUUGAUGAUGUCACACUUUUGACCAUAUUAGUUUGUGGCCUAUGAUUAGUAAGCUCUUUGCCUAGUAGCUUUGAUGUUGUGACCCUAUCUCUCUUUCUCAAAUUGUCAUAAAUCCAUUUGUUUGAUCUUUUGUUAUUUCCUUUCAACAUGGUAGAAAGUGUUCUGCUUUAUAUUGUCGGUGACUCCUAUGCUUUAUUUGGGAUGAGUACAUUGUCAAUUGAUAUAUUACAUGAUUUAUGUUUAUGGUUUAAAGACAUAGAGACAUUUAUCUCUUACGUAGGCACGGAUGAGUUCGGGCAUAUGUAUAUUGACAUAUUAAAAGAAAAUUCGGGCAUAUGUAUAUUGACAUAUUAAAAGAAAACAAAGUUAACAAUUCUGGUGAGGUUUAAUCCUUGUGCAAGGACUGCACUGUGCAUUUGUUACUCUCAUAGCUGAUGGUGAGCGUGAAUUCAUGUUCUUCUGUAGUCCUAGCGUUGAUAUGUUUCUUUGUGAGUCAGAUCUUGACAUAGACCUUAUUAAGUGAGCUUUCAGUUGCCCACUAUAUUUAAAGAUCUAGCGGAAGAUGUGCUAAUAUUACUUUGAUCACGUUAUUUAUUCAAUGCUGGCAAGCAUCUUUUGUUACAGUUCAAUUAGUUUGAUUGAAGAAACAUGUAGGUCUACACAGCUUGCUACAAUGGCCAUUCCGAACAAGUCUGGUAGCAUACUCUCUUAUGACCCAAAUCUGAGAUUGCCCUUGUAGCCUACAGGAGAAGCUACUCGAAAGGAGAUAAUGAACAAAUGGCCCCAGGCAGACAUUAUCAACGUACAUUUUUUAUCAUAGGCAACCCUUCUAUGAAGUUCUGAAGUAUUCUGGAUAAUGAUUAAUUUUGUUCACUUUCCUCACCAGAAGAUAUUCUGCUCACACUCAUAAUUAAUUGGGAGUGUAUAAUCUGACAGAUGAGAGGAGAUAACAUUCCUCACCAUAAGAUCUUCUGCUCAGGAUGAAACCUGUUGCGGCAAUAUCAACCCUAUAGGUAUUGUUAUACCUCUGAUAGUGUCGUAACUGAAUAUUCUACGUGAUACGGGGAAAACCAACCGAUUGGGAAAUACGUUUAAUUGGGCUCAGUAAUAAAUUGGUUGGGUUCACUCUUUUCCAACUUAUCUCACAAAUUGACGUUGAUCUAUUUUUCAUGUAUCACUCUUGCUAAAUUGUAAAAUUCCAUAAAACUUUGUUGUGAUUUUUUUAAUAUUAACAAAAGAGGAAAAAAUUCCAUCUUACUGCAACUCAUCUCGAGCAAAAUCCUUUACCUAAAAGAAUAAAAAUGAAAAAAGAUCUAUGACUUGCUUAAAUAGUUGGAAAAUGUGUACUCUGCUUCCCCUCAAACAUUUAUCAGUGUUUCAUAAUUAGGAAUAUAUUAUUUUAUCUAAAUUUUGCAAUUUCUGUAUUUUUUUUUUUUUUAAUUAUUUUUUCCUUUCAAUUUUCAACUUUGGGUUGGCUUGAGCAUGGAAUGUUGAUAACUUGGGUACUAAUGAGUUUGGAUAAUAUUUCCGCUCUGACCUGGUAUCGUGUGGAGAAGUAAUAAACUGGCAUGCGAUCAAUACUUGACAAUUGUUUUUCUAUCAAUACUCUGAUUACAAGUUAAGUGACGUUUUAGAUUUCCUUAUCUCACUAUAUGUUGAUCCCUAAUACAGUAAUACUCUACAAUGGUUAUAUCUCAAUUGGAACUCUUUCAAGCCAGCAUUACUACUACUAUUACUACUAGAAUUGAUACCCUUGAAUUUUUAUUCAAUUCCUUGGCAUCUCUGAAAUGUUGACAAUAGUUUGUUAAACCUUGUUAACUACACUAUACUUGAAAUUAUCUGGUCAGUUGUUUUGUGCAAAAGCAUGAUAAUCAAAUGCAUCAUUUUGUUAUUAAAUGUGCGAUGUAUUGUUUGAAGCAACAGAUGAGAAGCACACUCACGAAAUAAUGAUAGCAUUUUCUUGCAUUGCUGGUGUAAGGAGCUAUUAUGAUGAGGGAAAAAGAGUUGCUGAAACUUUGAUGUUCGAUUAACGUAGGCGGCACGGAAUUGGUAAAAAUCCCUUUCUUUUGCUACAAAUCAUAUAGUUGUUAUUGGUUUUUGACAUCCAAUUCUCCAAUUGUGUCAAAAAUAUUGAAAACAUAUGAUGCAUUUCUUACAAGUUGAAAUGAUGACUCCACAACAGAAAUACGUUUUGCAUGGAUCUUCAACACCUAUGGACCCUGCAUGAAUAUUGAUGUUGGUCUAGUUGUCAGCAAUUUUAUAGCUUAAGCGAUUUGGUAUUAUUUUAUUGUCACGCUAUUAUCAUCUGCAUACCUUUGAUCUCAAUUGUUGGCCUUUGUUAUUUCUAGAGUCAAAGCCCACUUCUGAGAACAUUGCAAAUUGUGACCAAAUAAAACGAGAUUUCACCUUCUCAAUUCUCACACUAUUUCCUUUUUGCACAUGUAUGCAGUGAUGAGCCUUUUGACUGUCCGCUUGCUUGGAACACAAACAAGAAGCUUUUGUUACAUCUCUGACAUGGUACAAAAGAGUAUUAUAUCAUUUUGGUAAUUGAACCCUAUAAUACAUGUUACUAUCUUUGGUGGUCUUACUCUUAUUUCUUUUACAUGUGAAGGUCGAUGGUCUAAUUCUACUAAUGGAAGGCAAAAAAAGUACAAGGCCAAUCAACAUUGGCAAUCCAGGCUAUUAACAAAAAAUAUAGUUCUAAAAUGCUAAAAUCAAGUUCAUUAUAUCUCUUUGAGUAUAAAGCUUAUGCUGCUUGUUAGUUUCCUGGGAAAGGUAAAGUGUACUGUGCUUUCUUCGGAGCCAGUCGUGCCUCACAUAUUCAUGAAUUGGGCUUUCAAUAGUACGAUCUUUGGGCAUAUGUCCUCAAUUUCGCUUUGGGAGAUAGAGAUUACUGUCACUUGUGCAGCGAACCAAGCUUACCACUCAAAAAAGUCCUCUGUAAUGAAAGGAAUGACUAAAUGCCAAAGGGUGAUCCCCCCUUUCCAUUGAAGAGCACGAACACGAAAGUCUCAUGAACUUCUUAUUGGGACAGUAGCUUCAAUGGCUCGAUAUAAAGACGGUUUGGCUGUUCUUUUGUAUUGAAAGGGUAUAGAAAUUCUAGGAUCCUGCUUUUGGUUUGGAAACAAAUAAUGUUAGGAUAACUGGCUCAUGGUUAUACUAAAAGGCAAAUUUAUAAUGUUUUGAGUUUGUUGAGACUGAAGGAGGCAAUUUCCAAAAUUGUGCAUCGAUACAAAUUUCUUUUCCUCUCUCUUGUUCUUUUUCAAGUAUGAUAUGGAACAAAAUGGUUUGUGUCUGUACAGAUGAUUAACCCAAAAGUGAAAAUCAUUACGGUGAAGAAUAUUCUAGAUGAUCCUUUCCAGAGAAAACCUGAUAUAACCAAAGGCAAAGGAGUGUCUUGGCUAGGAACCAAAGGUCAAGUUGCAUGAUGGCCUUCCCCUUCCGCAAGAGGAAUGGAAUCCGGAGGAAGUGAUUUACUCUCUAAAUCUUAUUUAAUGUUAAUGAAAAAGCAUUUUUUGUUAAUAACUUUGCUGAUUUACCUUUAUUUAAUUAUCAACAACUAGUAGUAAAUUACUAUUGGAAAUAGUAAAGAAAUUGAACAGGAGCGGACCCAGACCGUUCGAACUGUG